UCUUCUCUCUCCUUUAUCCCCUCCUUUGAUAAAACUAUUUUCAUUAUCUUCUCCAUUUACUUCUGCAUCUAGAUAAAAAGCUCUCAAAUCUCCACUGCGAUUAAAGCUCUGUUAUUAACGCUCUGCUGCUAUUAAAAAAUCUUAUCCAUCUCCCCAUUCGGUAGAAAGAAAAUCUCCCAAAACAAUAUGUGAAUCAUCUCUGAAUUUAGGGAUUUAUCACCUUGAGGAGUUGUUGAAAUAACAAGCUGUAAGAUAACUCCUAUCCUUACGCAAGAGUAAACAUGAUCAGUUCCUGAAAUCUUAUGAAGAUUUGGUGAAUACCAAAUUCAACCGAUUGAUUUUGACUCCUAGAAUUUCUGCCCAGAACAAUCCCUAGAAAUCGACCAAGUAUAGCUGAUGUGGAAGCACCAUUCUGAGGACUUUUGCUCAGCGUAAUAAACCUAGAUUUGAGCCAAGCAAAGUGCGAAGAUGUUAUUUUUAAGCAGGCAUGGAUUACAUAUAUCUGGAGGAGAGCAAAAGCAGAUGUUGUAGAUGAAGAUAUCGCAGAAGAGAGACUUCAAUCUUGGAUGGAUCGUGUUGGUCAAAAACCAACAUCCUGAUGAUGCUGUUGAUGUGGGAAGAGGUCUUCUGGAACUGAGAAAGCUCGGAAUCAAACAGCAAAAUCGCGAAAUUGAAUUGAUGUAGGGAAAUUUUUCUACAACUACCAAUCACAAACCUACUGUAGAUAAUGAUGUCUCCCCUUGAUCAUGAUACUCCCUUCCCAAGACUGUCAAAUACAAGAAGGGAAGUUGGAUAUUGAACCAGGUAACCUAGACUGGCAUUUCAUUUUUAGAUCGUCAAUGGCUACAAUCAACAAUCAUAAUUAUUCCCUGUUUUCUAUAGUUUAGACCAGAUCACCACAUUGUAUGUCGAUUACAAAAUUUAGUCGUCUUCAUCAUCUCAGUAGUUACUUGUAUUACUUAAUACACAUUUAUAUCUCCA
This is a long non-coding RNA of Papaver somniferum (opium poppy), 981 nucleotides long. RefSeq lists it as uncharacterized. The transcript is spliced from 6 exons. The record is from RefSeq and is a predicted model, not a curated record. NCBI's taxonomy places the organism in Eukaryota, Viridiplantae, Streptophyta, Magnoliopsida, Ranunculales, Papaveraceae.